This 103-nucleotide non-coding RNA is filed under the name Thraustochytrium sp. LLF1b. Lineage: Eukaryota; Bigyra; Thraustochytrida; Thraustochytriidae. The record is from RNAcentral.
GAACGAAAGAAAGAAAGAAAGAAAGAAACAUCAGAUCGGUUUAAAGUCACUAGAAAAAACGUGGUGCUUUUAUAAUCAUUUGUAUUUUGACUUCUCUCCCGUU